AGUUUAUCGUGUACGCAAGUCAUUGGGUGAAUAAAACCCAAAGGCGAAAUAAAAGUAAAGAGUUGAGUUUAUGAAAAAGAAUUUUAUUCUUUUUAAUUUCUCUCUUAAGGGAAGAUGAAAAUUUAAUUAAUAAUAUAUUUAUAUAUUGUUAAUAUAAAUUUUUCACACUCCCAGGGCGCUUGUUUCACGCUUUGCGUGUCAAUGCGCACCUAGAGCGUACACGCUGAUACCCGAAAGAUGGUGAACUAUGCCUGGCCAGGACGAAGCCAGGGGAAACCCUGGUGGAGGUCCGCAGCGAUUCUGACGUGCAAAUCGAUCGUCGGAGCUGGGUAUAGGGGCGAAAGACCAAUCGAACCAUCUAGUAGCUGGUUCCCUCUGAAGUUUCCCUCAGGAUAGCUUGCGCUCGGUUGAGAAGAGUCUCAUCCGGUAGAGCGAAUGAUUAGAGGCAUUGGGGUCGAAACGACCUCAACCUAUUCUCAAACUCCAAAUAGAUGAGACCCCCGGCUUUCUUAAAAUUGAAGCCGUGGGAAUAGGAUCAGAGUGCCAAGUGGGCCAAUUUUGGU
This 563-nucleotide ribosomal RNA is filed under the name Catasphactes sp. UCR ENT 00001513. Its description in RNAcentral is "eukaryotic LSU rRNA". It matches the Rfam family "Eukaryotic large subunit ribosomal RNA", at positions 672 to 1141 of the family's 3401-position model. The record is from RNAcentral. Lineage: Eukaryota; Metazoa; Arthropoda; Insecta; Hemiptera; Reduviidae.